CUGAGUGCCUCUGAAAGGCACUGCAGGCUAAGCCAGCACACUCCUGCUUCCCAAUGAAGAAAAAAAACCUGCUGCCUUAAACGUCAUAGAAUGUCAGUUAAUGUGUUUGUUUCUGUUGUUAGGGAAAGAGAGGUACUGUUUUAAAGUACCAGUACAGUGACAAAAUAGUGGAUACACUCUGCUUAACAUGAAGUACUUUCCUUUACAACCUAAGUAUCAUACAGGGCUGUGCUAUGGUUGUGCUCCAGCUACAAAAACUGAUGGAUGAAGGAGUGCAUGGCCCCACCAUUCAGAUCAUCUCUGUGUGUCUUCCACAGGGAUGCCAAACCUCCUUCACUUGAGACUUAUUCCUUCAGAAGGAGAAAGCAGAGCCCAUUUGUGAGAUCCUGCUAUCACAAAUCCCAAAGUUUGGCCCAAGAUAGAAACCUUUAG
RNAcentral lists this long non-coding RNA (432 nucleotides) under Cyanistes caeruleus (blue tit). RNAcentral's name for it is "lncRNA (ENSCCEG00000010987.1)". Lineage: Eukaryota; Metazoa; Chordata; Aves; Passeriformes; Paridae. The record is from RNAcentral.